GUGCUCACUUCGGCAGCACAUAAACUAAAAUUGGAACAAUACAGAGAAAAUUAGCAUGGCACCUGCACAAGGAUGACACGCAAAUUCGUGAAACAUUCCAUAUUUUU
RNAcentral lists this small nuclear RNA (107 nucleotides) under Myotis brandtii (Brandt's bat). The record is from RNAcentral. Lineage: Eukaryota; Metazoa; Chordata; Mammalia; Chiroptera; Vespertilionidae.